AACCUAGCACACCUGCGGUGUGUACCUGCGGAGGGAUCAUUACAGAGUGUAAAAACUCCCAAAACCCAUGUGAACAUACCUUUUUGUUGCUUCGGCGGGAUCGCCCCGGGCGCCUUGUGUGCCCCGGAGUCAGGCGCCCGCCGGGGGACCCAAACUCUUGUUUUUAACGAGUAUCUUCUGAGUAACGUUUUUAAAUAAAUAAAAACUUUCAACAACGGAUCUCAGAUCGGAAGAGCACAC
Molecule: unclassified non-coding RNA, 240 nt
Filed under: soil metagenome
Description: partial contains 5.8S ribosomal RNA, internal transcribed spacer 2, and large subunit ribosomal RNA
Source: RNAcentral